GGCCCCAGGCCCUACGGGGCGCAGCAGGUGCGAAAAUUCCGCAAUGCGUGCAAGCGCGACGGAGUGACCCCCAGUGCCGAUGGUCUAACGAUCGUCGACUUUUCUGGAGUGUAAAAAGCUCUGGGUAAUAAGGGCCGGGUAAGACUGGUGCCAGCCGCCGCGGUAACACCAGCGGCUCAAGUGGUAGUCGAUUUUAUUGGGUCUAAAGCGUCCGUAGCCGGAUCGUCAAGUCCCUUGUGAAAUCGGGCGGCUUAACCGCUCGGCUUGCAAGAGAAACUGACGUUCUUGGGGUCGGCAGGCGCCGAGGGUACUCCGGAGGUAGCGGUGAAAUGCUAUAAUCUUCGGGGGACCGCCGGUGGCGAAAGCGCUCGGCGGGGCCGAACCCGACGGUGAGGGACGAAGGCCAGGGGAGCGAACCGGAUUAGAUACCCGGGUAGUCCUGGCUGUAAAGUAUGUGGGCCAGGUGCCAGACGUUCCUCGAGAGCGCUUGGUGCCGAAGGGAAGCCGUUAAGCCCACCACCUGGGGAGUACGGUCGCAAGACUGAAACUUAAAGAAAUUGGCGGGGGAGCACCACAAGGGGUGGAGCCUGCGGUUUAAUUGGAUUCAACGCCGGACAUCUCACCGGGGGCGACGGCAGAGUGAAGGCCAAGUUGACGACUUUGCCGGACUCGCCGAGAGGUGGUGCAUGGCCGCCGUCAGCUCGUAUCGUGAGACGUCCUGUCAAGUCAGGUAACGAGCGAGACCCUUAUCCUUAGUUGCCAGCGGAUCCCUCUGGGAUGCCGGGCACUCUAAGGAGACCGCUGUCGAUAAGGCAGAGGAAGGAGAGGGCGACGGUAGGUCCGUAUGCCCCGAAUCCCCCGGGCAACACGCGGGCUACAAUGCGCGGGACAGAGGGCUGCGACCCCGAGAGGGGAAGCCGAUCCCUAAACCUGCGCCUAGUUCGGAUCGAGGGCUGCAACUCGCCCUCGUGAAGCUGGAAUCCCUAGUAAUCGCGUGUCACUAUCGCGCGGUGAAUACGUCCCUGCUCCUUGCACACACC
RNAcentral lists this ribosomal RNA (1040 nucleotides) under uncultured archaeon. RNAcentral describes it as "bacterial SSU rRNA". It matches the Rfam family "Archaeal small subunit ribosomal RNA", at positions 312 to 1347 of the family's 1478-position model. The record is from RNAcentral.